GACGAACGCUGGCGGCGUGCUUAACACAUGCAAGUCGAACGGAAAGGCCCUGCUUUUGUGGGGUGCUCGAGUGGCGAACGGGUGAGUAACGCGUGAGUAACCUGCCCUUGACUUUGGGAUAACUUCAGGAAACUGGGGCUAAUACCGGAUAGGAGCUCCUGCUGCAUGGUGGGGGUUGGAAAGUUUCGGCGGUUGGGGAUGGACUCGCGGCUUAUCAGCUUGUUGGUGGGGUAGUGGCUUACCAAGGCUUUGACGGGUAGCCGGCCUGAGAGGGUGACCGGCCACAUUGGGACUGAGAUACGGCCCAGACUCCUACGGGAGGCAGCAGUGGGGAAUAUUGCACAAUGGGCGGAAGCCUGAUGCAGCAACGCCGCGUGCGGGAUGACGGCCUUCGGGCUGUAAACCGCUUUCGCCUGUGACGAAGCGUGAGUGACGGUAAUGGGUAAAGAAGCACCGGCUAACUACGUG
RNAcentral lists this ribosomal RNA (468 nucleotides) under uncultured bacterium. RNAcentral's name for it is "partial 16S ribosomal RNA". It matches the Rfam family "Bacterial small subunit ribosomal RNA", at positions 28 to 507 of the family's 1533-position model. The record is from RNAcentral.